UAGUUUUUUUAGAAAUAAAUUUAAUUUACAAAUUUUUAAUUUUUUAGUUAUUUAUUUAAUUGAAAAAUUUAUUGAUUUGAAUAUUUUAAGGGAUAAGCUUUAAAAUAAAUUAUUAAAAAUUAAUAGUGGUGAUAUAAAAUGUAUGCUUAGAAUUAGCAAUCAUUAUAAAGUUUGUUAUAAAUUAUUUUAUAAAUUAUAUUAUUUAUUAUAUUUUAAUUUAUUUAUAAAAAUUUUUUUAUAAAUUAUAUAUAAAAAGGAAUAAUGAUAGAAUUAGUAUAUUUUUUUGUUUAUGUAAUUUUAUAUGAUAAGUUUGUAUAAAGAACUCGGCAAAAAUUUUACCCGCCUGUUUAACAAAAACAUGUCUUUUUGAGUUAUUUUUAAAGUCUGACCUGCCCACUGAAGUUAUUUAAAUGGCCGCAGUAUUCUAACUGUGCAAAGGUAGCAUAAUCAUUAGUCUUUUAAUUGAAG
RNAcentral lists this ribosomal RNA (468 nucleotides) under Bactrocera occipitalis. Its description in RNAcentral is "partial 16S ribosomal RNA". The record is from RNAcentral. Lineage: Eukaryota; Metazoa; Arthropoda; Insecta; Diptera; Tephritidae.